UACGUAGGUGGCAAGCGUUGUCCGGAUUUACUGGGCGUAAAGCGUGGGCAGGCGGACGUUUAAGUAAGAAGUGAAAGGUUGGUGCUUAACGCUGACACUGCUCCUUAUACUGGACGUCUUGAGUGGCGGAGAGGAAAGCGGAACUACACGUGUAGCGGUGAAAUGCGUUGAGAUGUGUAGGAACACCGAUGGCGAAAGCAGCUUUCUGGACGCAAACUGACGCUCAUCCACGAAAGCCAAGGUAGCGAACAGG
Molecule: ribosomal RNA, 253 nt
Filed under: uncultured prokaryote
Description: partial 16S ribosomal RNA
Rfam family: Bacterial small subunit ribosomal RNA
Source: RNAcentral